This 506-nucleotide ribosomal RNA is filed under the name uncultured bacterium. RNAcentral describes it as "partial 16S ribosomal RNA". It matches the Rfam family "Bacterial small subunit ribosomal RNA", at positions 30 to 523 of the family's 1533-position model. The record is from RNAcentral.
AUUGAACGCUGGCGGCAGGCCUAACACAUGCAAGUCGAACGGUAACAGGAAGCAGCUUGCUGCUUCGCUGACGAGUGGCGGACGGGUGAGUAAUGUCUGGGAAACUGCCUGAUGGAGGGGGAUAACUACUGGAAACGGUAGCUAAUACCGCAUAAUGUCGCAAGACCAAAGAGGGGGACCUUCGGGCCUCUUGCCAUCGGAUGUGCCCAGAUGGGGUUAGCUUGUUGGUGGGGUAACGGCACACCAAGGCGACGAUCCCUAGCUGGUCUGAGAGGAUGACCAGCCACACUGGAACUGAGACACGGUCCAGACUCCUACGGGAGGCAGCAGUGGGGAAUAUUGCACAAUGGGCGCAAGCCUGAUGCAGCCAUGCCGCGUGUAUGAAGAAGGCCUUCGGGUUGUAAAGUACUUUCAGCGGGGAGGAAGGGAGUAAAGUUAAUACCUUUGCUCAUUGACGUUACCCGCAGAAGAAGCACCGGCUAACUCCGUGCCAGCAGCCGCCGUAA